This 1095-nucleotide ribosomal RNA is filed under the name Salmonella enterica subsp. enterica serovar Virchow. RNAcentral's name for it is "partial 23S ribosomal RNA". It matches the Rfam family "Bacterial large subunit ribosomal RNA", at positions 161 to 1194 of the family's 2925-position model. Lineage: Bacteria; Pseudomonadati; Pseudomonadota; Gammaproteobacteria; Enterobacterales; Enterobacteriaceae. The record is from RNAcentral.
AAUCCAUAGGUUAAUGAGGCGAACCGGGGGAACUGAAACAUCUAAGUACCCCGAGGAAAAGAAAUCAACCGAGAUUCCCCCAGUAGCGGCGAGCGAACGGGGAGGAGCCCAGAGCCUGAAUCAGCAUGUGUGUUAGUGGAAGCGUCUGGAAAGGCGCGCGAUACAGGGUGACAGCCCCGUACACAAAAGCGCAUGUGCUGUGAGCUCGAUGAGUAGGGCGGGACACGUGGUAUCCUGUCUGAAUAUGGGGGGACCAUCCUCCAAGGCUAAAUACUCCUGACUGACCGAUAGUGAACCAGUACCGUGAGGGAAAGGCGAAAAGAACCCCGGCGAGGGGAGUGAAAAAGAACCUGAAACCGUGUACGUACAAGCAGUGGGAGCCCCACCACCAAAGCAUUCUCUGGUGUUGAAGGCCCUGCAAAGCAGCAUCGCGGUGGCGGAGCGUCGUUUGCGACGCCCAACACACAAAACAAGCGGUGAGUGCUUUGGGGUGGGGUGACUGCGUACCUUUUGUAUAAUGGGUCAGCGACUUAUAUUCUGUAGCAAGGUUAACCGAAUAGGGGAGCCGGAGGGAAACCGAGUCUUAAUUGGGCGUUAAGUUGCAGGGUAUAGACCCGAAACCCGGUGAUCUAGCCAUGGGCAGGUUGAAGGUUGGGUAACACUAACUGGAGGACCGAACCGACUAAUGUUGAAAAAUUAGCGGAUGACCUGUGGCUGGGGGUGAAAGGCCAAUCAAACCGGGAGAUAGCUGGUUCUCCCCGAAAGCUAUUUAGGUAGCGCCUCGUGAAUUCAUCUCCGGGGGUAGAGCACUGUUUCGGCUAGGGGGCCAUCCCGGCUUACCAACCCGAUGCAAACUGCGAAUACCGGAGAAUGUUAUCACGGGAGACACACGGCGGGUGCUAACGUCCGUCGUGAAGAGGGAAACAACCCAGACCGCCAGCUAAGGUCCCAAAGUCAUGGUUAAGUGGGAAACGAUGUGGGAAGGCCCAGACAGCCAGGAUGUUGGCUUAGAAGCAGCCAUCAUUUAAAGAAAGCGUAAUAGCUCACUGGUCGAGUCGGCCUGCGCGGAAGAUGUAACGGGGCUAAACCAUGCAC